GUUUCAGUUUAAAUCGGGGCUGCCCCGAAUCACAUUCAAAUAGACAUCAGAGUUGUUUUAAAACGGGAGCGCGGUCACUACAACCGCCCUCCCAAAGGUUCACAGGUGUUUGGGUUUGGAAGAGGGCGCGGGUCCCAGCCGCAACACGGCGUCGCCACCGGUGCAGGCCGAGCCCCACUCCCCUCCCCCAUGAAGUUUCAAUAAUGAUCCUUCCGCAGGUUCACCUACGGAAA
This 233-nucleotide unclassified non-coding RNA is filed under the name uncultured fungus. Its description in RNAcentral is "sequence contains ITS1". The record is from RNAcentral. Lineage: Eukaryota; Fungi.